GAUGAACGCUGGCGGCGUGCUUAACACAUGCAAGUCGAACGGUGAAGGCGGAGCUUGCUCUGCUGGAUCAGUGGCGAACGGGUGAGUAACACGUGAGCAAUCUGCCCCUGACUCUGGGAUAAGCGCUGGAAACGGCGUCUAAUACUGGAUACGAGCUGCGAAGGCAUCUUCAGCAGCUGGAAAGAACUUCGGUCAGGGAUGGGCUCGCGGCCUAUCAGCUUGUUGGUGAGGUAACGGCUCACCCAGGCGUCGACGGAUAGCCGGCCUGAGAGGGGGGACGGCCACACUGGGACUGAGAGAGGGCCCAGAGUGCUACGGGAGGCAGCAGGGGGGAGUAUGACACAGUGGGCGAAAGCCUGAGGCAGAAGCGCCGCGUGAGGGACGACGGCCUUCGGGUUGGAAACCGCUUUUAGCAGGGAAGAAGCGAAAGUGACGGUACCUGCAGAAAAAGCGCCGGCUAACUACGUG
This 468-nucleotide ribosomal RNA is filed under the name uncultured bacterium. RNAcentral describes it as "partial 16S ribosomal RNA". It matches the Rfam family "Bacterial small subunit ribosomal RNA", at positions 28 to 507 of the family's 1533-position model. The record is from RNAcentral.